UGAGGAAUAUUGGUCAAUGGGCGGAAGCCUGAACCAGCCAUGCCGCGUGCAGGACGACGGCCCUACGGGUUGUAAACUGCUUUUCCGGGGGAAGAAUAAGGCCCAUGCGUGGGCCGAUGCCGGUACCCCGGGAAUAAGGAUCGGCUAACUCCGUGCCAGCAGCCGCGGUAAUACGGAGGAUCCUAGCGUUAUCCGGAUUUACUGGGUUUAAAGGGUGCGUAGGCGGGCCCCUCAGUCAGCGGUGAAAGUCUGCGGCUCAACCGUAGGAUUGCCGUUGAUACUGGGGGUCUUGAAUUCGGUCAAGGUGGGCGGAAUGCGUGGUGUAGCGGUGAAAUGCUUAGAUAUCACGCAGAACGCCGAUAGCGAAGGCAGCUCACCGGGCCGACAUUGACGCUGAGGCACGAAAGCGUGGGGAUCAAACAGG
Molecule: ribosomal RNA, 424 nt
Filed under: uncultured bacterium
Lineage: Bacteria
Description: bacterial SSU rRNA
Rfam family: Bacterial small subunit ribosomal RNA
Source: RNAcentral